GAUGAACGCUAGCUACAGGCUUAACACAUGCAAGUCGAGGGGCAGCGCAGUGUAGCAAUACAUGGGCGGCGACCGGCGCACGGGUGCGUAACGCGUAUCCAACCUUCCCGUUACUCAGGGAUAGCCUUCCGAAAGGGAGAUUAAUACCUGAUGGUGUUCAAAUUCCGCAUGUUAUUUGAACUAAAGAUUUAUCGGUAACGGAUGGGGAUGCGUGACAUUAGGUAGUAGGCGGGGUAACGGCCCACCUAGCCUUCGAUCAUUAGGGGUUCUGAGAGGAAGGUCCCCCACACUGGAACUGAGACACGGUCCAGACUCCUACGGGAGGCAGCAGUGAGGAAUAUUGGUCAAUGGGCGAGAGCCUGAACCAGCCAAGUAGCGUGAAGGAAGACUGCCCUAUGGGUUGUAAACUUCUUUUGUUCGGGAAUAAAGUGCAGUACGCGUACUGUUUUGUAUGUACCGUUCGAAUAAGCAUCGGCUAAUUCCGUG
This 486-nucleotide ribosomal RNA is filed under the name uncultured bacterium. RNAcentral's name for it is "bacterial SSU rRNA". It matches the Rfam family "Bacterial small subunit ribosomal RNA", at positions 28 to 507 of the family's 1533-position model. The record is from RNAcentral.